CCCUUAGAUGUCCUGGGCCGCACGCGCGCUACACUGAUCAGUGCAACAAGCAUCCGUCCUUGGCCGACAGGCCCGGGCAAUCUUUGAACGCUGAUCGUGAUGGGGAUAGACUUUUGCAAUUUUUGGUCUUCAACGAGGAAUUCCUAGUAAACGCAAGUCAUCAACUUGCAUUGAUUACGUCCCUGCCCUUUGUACACACCGCCCGUCGCACCUACCGAUUGAAUGGUCCGGUGAAGCCUCCGGAUUGGCGUGCACCCUCGGGUGCUGCCGAGAAGUUGGCUAAACCUUACCAUUUAGAGGAAGGUGAAGUCGUAACA
This 317-nucleotide ribosomal RNA is filed under the name uncultured eukaryote. Its description in RNAcentral is "partial 18S ribosomal RNA". It matches the Rfam family "Eukaryotic small subunit ribosomal RNA", at positions 1470 to 1796 of the family's 1831-position model. The record is from RNAcentral.